UAGCUGCUGAUGUGACCCUCUUUC
RNAcentral lists this non-coding RNA (24 nucleotides) under Mus musculus (house mouse). Lineage: Eukaryota; Metazoa; Chordata; Mammalia; Rodentia; Muridae. The record is from RNAcentral.